Molecule: long non-coding RNA, 385 nt
Filed under: Orbicella faveolata
Lineage: Eukaryota; Metazoa; Cnidaria; Anthozoa; Scleractinia; Merulinidae
Description: uncharacterized LOC110063538, transcript variant X2
Source: RNAcentral
AGGACAAAACCCAGAGUAGACCAUCUUAAAUUCAUGAUUGCCUUCUUUGGUUGUGCAAGCUGUAGCCCAGUUUAAUAGUGCCUUAUAAUUUUACCUGGCAGUUAUAUGAAACAACCCAGGAACACAAAGGAACAAUAUUGACCCUUCAGGAGAAGUUGGAAGCUCUAGAAAGGAAUUCCACUGAUCACCAGAAGAUUUUAGAUGAAGCUAAUGGCAAGCAUAAAAUGGUUCUUGAUAAACUUAAUGAGGAGAGAGCCUUGUUAGAGGCUAAACUUCAUAAGACAGAAGAAGAAUUAAAAGUAGCAAGUUUCAAGGCUGAGAAAGGCCACCAACAACUGAAGCUCUUACACAAGGAAAUGACUUCAAGAUAUGGUACGAGAGUGCA